RNAcentral lists this ribosomal RNA (266 nucleotides) under uncultured fungus. RNAcentral describes it as "partial 18S small subunit ribosomal RNA". It matches the Rfam family "Eukaryotic small subunit ribosomal RNA", at positions 297 to 544 of the family's 1831-position model. Lineage: Eukaryota; Fungi. The record is from RNAcentral.
CAAAUUUCUUGGCCCUUAUCAACUUUCGAUGGUCAGAGUCAGUGGUCUACCAUGGUUUCAACGGGUAACGGGGAAUUAGGGUUCUAUUCCGGAGAGGGAGCCUGAAGAAAGGUACCACAUCCAAGGAAGGGCAGCAGGCGCGCAAAUUACCCCAAUCCCGACUCGGGGGAGGCUAAGUUGGACAAUUAAAUUACUGAUACACGGGGCCCUUUUGGGUCUUGUAAAUUUGGAAUGACGUACCAAUUUAAAAUCUUCUUAACGAGGGA